This 404-nucleotide ribosomal RNA is filed under the name uncultured prokaryote. Its description in RNAcentral is "bacterial SSU rRNA". It matches the Rfam family "Bacterial small subunit ribosomal RNA", at positions 355 to 774 of the family's 1533-position model. The record is from RNAcentral.
UGGGGAAUAUUGCACAAUGGGCGAAAGCCUGAUGCAGCAACGCCGCGUGAGCGAUGAAGGCCUUUGGGUCGUAAAGCUCUGUCCUUGGGGAAGAAAAAAAUGACGGUACCCAUGGAGGAAGCCCCGGCUAACUACGUGCCAGCAGCCGCGGUAAUACGUAGGGGGCAAGCGUUAUCCGGAAUUAUUGGGCGUAAAGAGUGCGUAGGUGGUUCUUUAAGCGCAGGGUUUAAGGCAAUGGCUCAACCAUUGUUCGCCCUGUGAACUGGAGGACUUGAGUGCAGGAGAGGAAAGCGGAAUUCCUAGUGUAGCGGUGAAAUGCGUAGAUAUUAGGAGGAACACCAGUGGCGAAGGCGGCUUUCUGGACUGUAACUGACACUGAGGUACGAAAGCGUGGGGAGCAAACA